UGGGGAAUUUUGGACAAUGGGCGAAAGCCUGAUCCAGCAAUGCCGCGUGUGUGAAGAAGGCCUUCGGGUUGUAAAGCACUUUUGUCCGGAAAGAAAUGGCUCUGGUUAAUACCUGGGGUCGAUGACGGUACCGGAAGAAUAAGGACCGGCUAACUACGUGCCAACAGCCGCGGUAAUACGUAGGGUCCAAGCGUUAAUCGGAAUUACUGGGCGUAAAGCGUGCGCAGGCGGUUGUGCAAGACCGAUGUGAAAUCCCCGAGCUUAACUUGGGAAUUGCAUUGGUGACUGCACGGCUAGAGUGUGUCAGAGGGGGGUUAGAAUUCCACGUGUAGCAGUGAAAUGCGUAGAGAUGUGGAGGAAUACCGAUGGGCGAAGGCAGCCCCCUGGGAUAACACUGACACUCAUGCACGAAAGCGUGGGGAGCAAACAGGAUUAGAUACCCUGGUAGUCCACGCCCUAAACGAUGUCAACUAGUUGUUGGGGGAUUCAUUUCCUUAGUAACGUAGCUAACGCGUGAAGUUUGGACCGCCUGGGGAGUACGGUCGCAAG
RNAcentral lists this ribosomal RNA (549 nucleotides) under uncultured bacterium. Its description in RNAcentral is "partial 16S ribosomal RNA". It matches the Rfam family "Bacterial small subunit ribosomal RNA", at positions 355 to 892 of the family's 1533-position model. The record is from RNAcentral.